This is a long non-coding RNA of Orcinus orca (killer whale), 1520 nucleotides long. RefSeq lists it as uncharacterized. The transcript has 3 exons. The record is from RefSeq and is a predicted model, not a curated record. NCBI's taxonomy places the organism in Eukaryota, Metazoa, Chordata, Mammalia, Artiodactyla, Delphinidae.
UACGAUUAACAUGAAUGAUGUGAUUCUUACCUACUGUUAAUUUCUAAACAGACUUUGAUUUUUAUUAACAGGCUUUGGGGCCUAUUAUUCAACAGAGAAGCAGACUGUUUUUCUCAUGGGGAAUGAUUAGACUAGAAAAAAAAAAAAAGGAAAUUCUUUCCUUGCUAGGUAAUAAUAGAGAGAUAUAGCAAGCGUGGCCAAAAUACAACAUGAAGGAAAGCUCUGGAACCUGCUGUUGUGAAACAGUUCUUGUCAGACCUCAGUGAGUACUGUAGCAGUUUCUCUCAGAAGUUAAAACAGGAAAUACACACCUGAUUAAACUCCUUUAAGUUCGGAUAGCUGCUGCUGCAGGUUUGAAAACCCUGGCAUUUCAAAAUCUCAAUAAAGUGACUUUCGAAGCAACAGAAGGGCAAACCUUUGAUAAGGCUGCAAGCCCUGCGAGACUGCACAUGGAGGUGAUGCUGCUGGGGGAGGUGAGGGACCUGAGGAAGGAACCUCGAUGAGCUCAGGCACCUGUGGAGCAUGCAGAUCCUGCUGCACGCUUUCCUACGGGGCACUUAAAAACACUUCCAUUUUUUGAAAUCUUGCUUUCUUUGGGGUAUUUCUCCAUUUCAUCCAGUGGUUCUCAAAGUGUAGUUCUGAGACCAGCAGCAUCAGUAUCACCUGGGAACAGUGAUGAUAGCUUUGGCCUCUCUUAUAAACACCUAAUGGGCAGAAAUUUUCUCCUUCAGAAGAAUAACAAAAAGAAAACACCAAGGAGCUUUCAUUAUAGUGCAGCUUCUUCUCUGGUUGAUGAGAGGCAUGACUGUGACCUGAAGCUGAUUUUGUUUAUUUGAAAGGAAAGACAAUUGUUCAUUCACUCAACAAACAUUUACUAAACACAUAGAGCUGCUGGGCUUCUGCUUGGCGUUGGGCAUAUUGUCAGCUCCAGCUCUGAAGGAACCAUGAGGUGAGGGGAUAAACAUGGGAAAAAUCACAGUUCAGGCAUCCAUGUACUGAUACCAACUGGUUUACACAGGCUGAAUAAAAGAAGGUGAAUAAAAGAAGAACAAAAAGCCUUCUAAGCAGACAAUAGAGAAUGUGUAAGCAGCAUGAAGUCAGGGGUAGUGAAACCAAGACCCCUAAAACCGAGUUCCCCUGCUGAGUUUGAUUAACCUCUCUGUCUAAAAUUAUUCCCUUUCUUGCUCCUUCUGACCUCAAUCCUGGGCUAACUGGACACUAAUCAACCAGAGUCAGAUGACUAAAACUGCUGUUGUCGAUAACAUCGUUAACCUACAAACUCAGGUUUUUUCUCCAGGACAAGAUGAGCUAACAGACCCCCAAGCCAUGGACCACCUGGCCAGAGAUAGUAAACCAGAGACAUCCUGACUCCUGAAACUACUAUUACGUUAUUAACCCCAGCUUCUUUGUUCUUCCCCUUAAAAAACCCUCUAACUCAAAGACCGAGUGGGAGUGAAUCUAAGGCGUGUCUCCCACUCCCUUGCUUGGCGCCCUGCAAUAAACCCUCACUUUGCCGCUAA